UCACUAGCAAGGUUAAGGUAUAGAGUACCGAAUCCGUAGAGAAAUCGAGUCUGAAUAGGGCGACAAGUUAGUGGAGGUAGACGCGAAACCAGGUGAUCUACCCAUGAGCAGGUUGAAGUUGUAGUAACAUACAAUGGAGGACCGCACCAAUAUACGUUGAAAAGUGUUUGGAUGACUUGUGGGUAGGGGUGAAAGGCCAAUCAAACCUGGAAAUAGCUCGUACUCCCCGAAAUGUUUUUAGGAACAGCGUCGGGAAUUGUAUGAUGGAGGUAGAGCUACCGAUAGGACUAGGGGGAGUCACAUCCUACCAAAUCCUGACGAACUCCGAAUGCCAUCAUAUAGAACCGGCAGUGAGGGCUUGGGUGCUAAGGUCCAAGUCCGAGAGGGAAAGAACCCAGACCUACCGCUAAGGUCCCAAAAUCCGCGCUAAGUUGAACAAAGGCGGUCCAGUUGCAGAGACAGCCAGGAGGUUAGCUUGGAAGCAGC
RNAcentral lists this ribosomal RNA (486 nucleotides) under Hemiselmis rufescens. RNAcentral describes it as "partial Bacterial large subunit ribosomal RNA". It matches the Rfam family "Bacterial large subunit ribosomal RNA", at positions 634 to 1116 of the family's 2925-position model. Lineage: Eukaryota; Cryptophyceae; Cryptomonadales; Hemiselmidaceae. The record is from RNAcentral.